CCAGGUGCUGUUGCCGUACACAAGCAGAAGCUGUUGUUAGCAGGGUUUUUGGACUACUUCCGAACUUAACCGCGGCCGCACCAUUUCUGUCUUUAUAUGCUAAAUCUUGUGUUUCUAUGCUGUUAUCACAGUCAAGGCAGAUUUAUACUUCAAUGUCAAACGCGUCUGCGUAGGAUUCGCGGACAGCGCAGAGAGCCGCACAGGCCCGCACAGCCAGGCCGCAUAGGCUACGUGCACCAAAUCUAAAAGCGCGUAGCUAUGGCUUCACAUGAGUCAAUACCGCAUCUUACGUUUUGUUCCCAGGUGGGAGCGGGGUCACUUGUAAACAAAAACAAAAAACUUGUAACAAAAGUUGGGCUAGUUUUUUGUAACAACAUUUUGGACUGGUUUUGAGCAGUCGUUGUCUUGGAAAUUUGUACUUAACCUGGCAUUGUGGGUUAUCAUGAGCACGGGGGGAAGGUGGCAGUGACAUUCAUACGUUUUCUGGGCAGCCUAAGCUGAGAGCAUUGGGAAAAUGAGUCCCAGUCAGAUGAUAUAAGGAUACAGUAGCACAAGAGAGUAAAGAAAGAGAGGGGGAGAGAGAGCAUGAGGAUGUC
Molecule: long non-coding RNA, 596 nt
Organism: Esox lucius (northern pike)
Lineage: Eukaryota; Metazoa; Chordata; Actinopteri; Esociformes; Esocidae
Exons: 3
Source: RefSeq, a predicted model, not a curated record